Molecule: transfer RNA, 72 nt
Filed under: Spirochaetota bacterium
Lineage: Bacteria; Pseudomonadati; Spirochaetota
Description: Spirochaetes bacterium (wastewater metagenome) tRNA-His
Rfam family: tRNA
About the family: Transfer RNA (tRNA) molecules are approximately 80 nucleotides in length.
Source: RNAcentral
GUGGAUGUAGCUCAAUGGCAGAGCCCUGGACUGUGGCUCCAGUUGUUGCGGGUUCGAGCCCCGUCAUCCACC